RNAcentral lists this ribosomal RNA (416 nucleotides) under uncultured Blautia sp. RNAcentral describes it as "bacterial SSU rRNA". It matches the Rfam family "Bacterial small subunit ribosomal RNA", at positions 349 to 782 of the family's 1533-position model. Lineage: Bacteria; Bacillati; Bacillota; Clostridia; Lachnospirales; Lachnospiraceae. The record is from RNAcentral.
CAGCAGUGGGGGAUAUUGCACAAUGGGGGAAACCCUGAUGCAGCGACGCCGCGUGGAGGAAGAAGGUUUUCGGAUUGUAAACUCCUGUCGUUAGGGACGAUAAUGACGGUACCUAACAAGAAAGCACCGGCUAACUACGUGCCAGCAGCCGCGGUAAAACGUAGGGUGCAAGCGUUAUCCGGAUUUACUGGGUGUAAAGGGAGCGUAGACGGUGUGGCAAGUCUGAUGUGAAAGGCAUGGGCUCAACCUGUGGACUGCAUUGGAAACUGUCAUACUUGAGUGCCGGAGGGGUAAGCGGAAUUCCUAGUGUAGCGGUGAAAUGCGUAGAUAUUAGGAGGAACACCAGUGGCGAAGGCGGCUUACUGGACGGUAACUGACGUUGAGGCUCGAAAGCGUGGGGAGCAAACAGGAUUAGA